CCUACGGGAGGUUGCAGUGAGGAAUAUUGGUCAAUGGACGAGAGCCUGAACCAGCCAAGUAGCGUGAAGGAUGACUGCCCUACGGGUUGUAAACUUCUUUUAUAUAGGAAUAAAAUGAUCCACGUGUGGGAUUUUGUAUGUACUUUAUGAAUAAGGAUCGGCUAACUCCGUGCCAGCAGCCGCGGUAAUACGGAGGAUCCGAGCGUUAUCCGGAUUUAUUGGGUUUAAAGGGAGCGUAGGUGGAUUGUUAAGUCAGUUGUGAAAGUUUGCGGCUCAACCGUAAAAUUGCAGUUGAUACUGGCAGUCUUGAGUACAGUAGAGGUAGGCGGAAUUCGUGGUGUAGCGGUGAAAUGCUUAGAUAUCACGAAGAACUCCGAUUGCGAAGGCAGCUCACUAAACUGCAACUGACACUGAGGCUCGAAGGUGUGGGUAUCAAACAGGAUUAGAUACCCCAGUAGUC
Molecule: ribosomal RNA, 460 nt
Filed under: uncultured bacterium
Lineage: Bacteria
Description: partial 16S ribosomal RNA
Rfam family: Bacterial small subunit ribosomal RNA
Source: RNAcentral